AGCAAGCGUAUCAUUCAGCACGAUUUGCGGGAAAGCAGUCAUCCAUAUUGGUUGAAGCAGUUGUUCUUCACUUUUAUUCUGUUUUCUAUAAAGUCACAGCACUGGGCAUCAUCUGCAUUCAAGACUGGGGUCAUAAGCUGUCAUAGGAGGCCAAUCCACAAUUGGGCUUUGACAACUUUGCGACGCCUUUGUGAUUUCUCUGAGACGCUUUAAAUAAGCUGUUUAUCAUAGUUAUUUCCAGAGAUUGUAUUACAAUUAUGUAAUCAUUAAAAGUUAUAGUGUUGAGGGAAAACUAAAUUAAAUGGACAUGUAAUGAACCCAGCUUGUGUGUUGUCUGUAUAUAUUCAUUUUUAUAAUAUAAGGAACACAAUUGCAAGCCACAAAUGGCGCCCAACGUGGUUAUAUUUUAGAUUUCUCUCAUUUAAGAACUGAACAUUAAUUUAAAAAAAAAUUAAUAAAAAUAAAUGAGUAUUGAUGAUUGUUAAAGAUUGUGGAAAAUCUUUGGUUGUAUGGAGGACGUACAGCUUAUUCGGUAGCCAGUGGUCGGAACAGUUGGCGUGUGCAGUGGAGCAAUCCAGGUGGCAUUCUGAGCGAUUAUUUGUUGGGAGCGACGAGCGAUCUUUAGGAGCGAGUAGAACAUCAGUGCCUGCAAAGUGACUGGAGCGUGUGACAUUGACAUUUCCGUGUGAUUGAGAAAAACACAUUUGUAUUUUGGCCAACAAGUUUAUUUCAGAGGUGUUGUUUGUCUGGAGGUGGUGACCAGCAUUCAAAUCACACAGCUAUUAAGUUAACAG
Dreissena polymorpha is the source of this 794-nucleotide long non-coding RNA. RefSeq lists it as uncharacterized. NCBI's taxonomy places the organism in Eukaryota, Metazoa, Mollusca, Bivalvia, Myida, Dreissenidae. The record is from RefSeq and is a predicted model, not a curated record. The transcript has 4 exons.